Molecule: ribosomal RNA, 497 nt
Filed under: uncultured bacterium
Lineage: Bacteria
Description: partial 16S ribosomal RNA
Rfam family: Bacterial small subunit ribosomal RNA
Source: RNAcentral
GAUGAACGCUGGCGGCGUGCCUAAUACAUGCAAGUCGAGCGAACAGACGAGGAGCUUGCUCCUCUGACGUUAGCGGCGGACGGGUGAGUAACACGUGGAUAACCUACCUAUAAGACUGGGAUAACUUCGGGAAACCGGAGCUAAUACCGGAUAAUAUAUUGAACCGCAUGGUUCAAUAGUGAAAGACGGUUUUGCUGUCACUUAUAGAUGGAUCCGCGCCGCAUUAGCUAGUUGGUAAGGUAACGGCUUACCAAGGCGACGAUGCGUAGCCGACCUGAGAGGGUGAUCGGCCACACUGGAACUGAGACACGGUCCAGACUCCUACGGGAGGCAGCAGUAGGGAAUCUUCCGCAAUGGGCGAAAGCUAGACGGAGCAACGCCGCGUGAGUGAUGAAGGUCUUCGGAUCGUAAAACUCUGUUAUUAGGGAAGAACAAAUGUGUAAGUAACUAUGCACGUCUUGACGGUACCUAAUCAGAAAGCCACGGCUAACUACGUG